RNAcentral lists this non-coding RNA (191 nucleotides) under Candidatus Omnitrophota bacterium. Its description in RNAcentral is "6S RNA". It matches the Rfam family "6S / SsrS RNA". Rfam says of the family: E. coli 6S RNA was the first non coding RNA to be sequenced, but its function was unknown until recently. Lineage: Bacteria; Pseudomonadati; Candidatus Omnitrophota. The record is from RNAcentral.
GAUACCCUGCCAUGUACGUGCUGACUUGGUAAGUUUUGAGCCAACACCAAAUUCCAGGGGACCUAAUAAUUUAGAUGUGGCUUGCAGGCCUCAAGAGGUGUCUCGAGGAAGCAAAAAGCAUCUAUGAGGGUGCCCACUUGUAAAAUGGGGUUCAAAAUUUCUCAAACUCACACGGCGUGCGCGGGGUUUCU